This is a non-coding RNA of Ciona savignyi (Pacific transparent sea squirt), 74 nucleotides long. NCBI's taxonomy places the organism in Eukaryota, Metazoa, Chordata, Ascidiacea, Phlebobranchia, Cionidae. The record is from Rfam.
GUCUCUGUGGCGCAAUUAGUUAGCGCGUUCGGCUGUUAACCGAGAGGUUGCUGGUUCAAGCCCAGCCAGGGACG